AAAACCCAAAAUUCGAACAACACUCGUCCCACUCUGAAUCACGUACCUGAACCUCAUUGAAAAUAACCCGAGCCUAACGACACUAAACAGGGCACAAUCUGGGCCUAAGCUGACCCGAGAACAACCCCCCCUUCACCGCCGCUGCGCCGGCACGGUGGUUGUUGCCGGUCUCCGCCGCUGCUGCGGUGUUCAUUCUUGCUGCGCCGCCACCAUAAUGGUGGUCGGCGGUUCAGUUACAAAGAGAGAGAGGAGAGACGAGAGGUGGUGAGUAGGUUUGUUGCGUUGGGGCAUUUGUUCACUGGCUGGGAUCGAGAAGAAGAACGAGGGUGUAGGUGACUGUGAGGGAGGAGAAGGGUGGUCGUGGUGUGGCCGGAGAAGACAGGGAGCCGGAGUGUUAGUUUAGGAUUAAAUUAUGAAAAGUUCGCGUCGGUUGUCGAUAUUGGUCACGUUCAAGAACCUUUGUGAUAUGACGUAUUAUACCACAUAUUAAUAAUUGAAGUCUUUGAACAGUAACAAAGGGCAUGUUAGGAAUUUCAUAUCAACCAUAGUUUCCACCGCUUCUCAUCCCUUUUCUUUUGCUGUAUGAAGUAUGAACACAGAAUAGGAAUAGGGUUUAGACAGAGGAGUAAGAGAGAGAGAGACAGAUUAGAGGUGGAGAGGGAUCGGAGCCGUCGUCUCCAACUGGCCACCCUCUUGGCGGUGAUGAGGCUUCUCAUCCCUUUUCUUUUGCUGUAUGAAGUAUGAACACAGAAUAGGAAUAGGGUUUAGACAGAGGAGUAAGAGAGAGAGAGACAGAUUAGAGGUGGAGAGGGAUCGGAGCCGUCGUCUCCAACUGGCCACCCUCUUGGCGGUGAUGACGAUCGGCGGCUUUUGACGCGGUAAACAGUAGAGAGAGCAGCGGUGGACAGAGAGAGAGGAGCGGCGGUGAUGGAAAAACCGGCCAUGUCUCCGACCGGACACCCAUGGUGGUGGUUGACGGUCACCGUGACGGCUAUGGCUUCUAGGAUUCGCUCGACAUUCUGGUGGAUUCCCAAGCCUAAAAGACCAGUAUGAGUCACAGAACCCGGAAUAUGGCCAGCCAGAGGCGUGGAGGGAGGAGAUGGAGGAGUUGCCGGUGGGAGAUUGGGAAUUACGGAAAUGCCUAUGGUGACCGUCCGUCGCGUUCUUUAUAAGGUUCGAUUUUUUCGUUUAGGUAUUAGAAUUUGUGCUUGAUUUGUGAAUUAGUUUGGUAUAUAUACUCAUCUAACGAGUAUGUGAUGCUGCUCUAACAACUUUGAGAGAAUGAGGUUACAUGUAUGCUUUCUAACUAUUCAUCAUCAGACCUUCAAAUCGCUCCACUGAUCUUUGUUUUAGUCUGACAUGAUGGUUUUUGUUGGUGUAUUUGAAGUAACCAUAUGGUCGACUUGAUUCGCCACAUGGUAAAGUUUUGAAGUUGUUAUGGCACGAGUUAGUGGGCUUGUCACGAGCACAAUUUUGCCUACCACGUUGUGAUUAUCAACAUCGAUUAAGAAAUUUGUAGGGCUUACAAGUGGUACUUGCAGUUCAGAGAAGAAUACCAGGUUCCGUUUGAUGGAGGAAUAUGACAAGAAACAGAUGUAUUCAAAGCUUUAGCUCUUGGUGCGAAGUGGUUAUAGUAAUUUUACCAACAAAUGGGAGAAAAAACUCAAAAUUUUAGCGAUUUUCUUAGAAUUAUACAUGGUGAUAUUUUCUAAUAUUGUAGGUUGGGCGAGCGGUUAUGUGUGGCUUAACAACAAAGGGUGAGUAUGGAGUAAAAACAGUGAUCGAGAUGUUGAAGGAUGAACUAGAGUUCACAAUGGCUCUUUCCGGCUGCCCUACUCUCAACGGUGUUACCGCGAACCAUAUCAGAACUUAGAAAUUAAAAAAUACUUGCUUUGUUCAAAAGUAUUGCACUUCAAUAUUUUCUAGCUGGAGUUUCAUCUACAGAUUCAUUAUAUUUGAUAAUAAAUGAAGAAAGUCAAAUUGAGUUGAGGGAUAAGGCUGCAGAGGUGCUGAAAUGAAGGAGCCAAUAACUGUGGAAGAAAAGCAACACAACGGCCUAUGGUCAAUGACAGCAAUGGAAAGAUUUUCAUUUUUAACAUACAUGUGCGAUUUAUUAACGAAUAAUCUAAGAUACACUUGCGAGUGAAACCAACUAUUGUAGCUGCUUAACAUAUGCCGGAUACAACAGGUUCAUAUGGCGCGCCCAACCAACUAUUGUAACUGCUUAACAGAUGCCGGAUGCAGCAGAAGUAUACGAUACCAAAGUGUAAUUGUUCCUUUGACAAUAUUGUAUAUGUAUGUCUUAUGGAUCAAGUUUUUGGUUUUUUAAGUAGAACGAAGUGAUCUUUGUAUCCAUAUACAUUAUUUCGCUUUAAUGUGACAAAGUUGGUUUGAUUUGUACAAA
Molecule: long non-coding RNA, 2404 nt
Organism: Helianthus annuus (common sunflower)
Lineage: Eukaryota; Viridiplantae; Streptophyta; Magnoliopsida; Asterales; Asteraceae
Exons: 3
Source: RefSeq, a predicted model, not a curated record